CCACAUCAUAUCUUAUUAAAUCAGCUCAUCACGUCUUAUUAUAAUUGAAUUUACUCAACGUUUAAACACUUAAAACUUACCUCGGAAGUUGCCGAACGAUUACGACGGCUCUUCGAUCACUUUUUUCCUUUCCCUUAUCCAACUUUGAUCCUCUAGGCUCUUGAGCUAAAUCAAACAAAUUUACUUCAUGAUACAUUCGGCCUUGGCAACAAUUUC
RNAcentral lists this long non-coding RNA (216 nucleotides) under Gossypium barbadense (sea-island cotton). Its description in RNAcentral is "long non-coding RNA (GBAR_LNC004358)". The record is from RNAcentral. Lineage: Eukaryota; Viridiplantae; Streptophyta; Magnoliopsida; Malvales; Malvaceae.